This is a non-coding RNA of Fukomys damarensis (Damara mole-rat), 586 nucleotides long. Lineage: Eukaryota; Metazoa; Chordata; Mammalia; Rodentia; Bathyergidae. The record is from the annotation of a RefSeq genome assembly.
UAUGAUGGACAGCAUCCUCCCCUGCUGUGUGAUCUUUGGUCUCUUGGGGGCAGGUCACACAGAACCCAGAGUCAGACAAACUCCCAGCCAUGAGGUCACAAACAUAGGACAGAAUGUGAUUCUGAGGUGUUAUCCUAUUUCUAAUCACCAGUACAUCUACUGGUACCGACAGACUGCAAAAAGAGGAAUGGAGUUUAUGGUUUAUCUUUAUAACAAUAACACUAUGGAAAAGGCAGACUUUUUCAAGGAUCGAUUCUCUGCAGAGAUGCCCAAGGGGUCAUCUUCUAUCCUGAAGAUCCAGCCUGUGCAGCUGGGAGACUCGGCCAUGUAUCUCUGUGCCAGCAGCUUAGCCACAGCCUCACACAGACGUUUCCUGUCCCUACAUAAACUCAUUACCUUCCCUCUCCCCAGGCUCGAGCAGCCCUUCCUGCCUAUGCCCAGUGAAGACCGGAGUCAUUCAGACCCCCAGGCACAAGAUCUAAAGAAAAGAACAGCAAGUGACACUGAGAUGUUCCCCUUUGUCUGGGCACCAGAUUGUGUCCUGGUAUCAACAGGUUGUGGGUCAGAGCCUCCAGUUUCUCUUUGA